This 252-nucleotide ribosomal RNA is filed under the name uncultured bacterium. RNAcentral's name for it is "partial 16S ribosomal RNA". It matches the Rfam family "Bacterial small subunit ribosomal RNA", at positions 524 to 776 of the family's 1533-position model. The record is from RNAcentral.
UACGUAGGUCCCGAGCGUUGUCCGGAUUUAUUGGGCGUAAGGCGAGCGCAGGUGGUUUAUUAAGUCUGGUGUAAAAGGCAGUGGCUCAACCAUUGUAUGCAUUGAAAACUGGUAGACUUGAGUGCAGGAGAGGAGAGUGGAAUUCCAUGUGUAGCGGUGAAAUGCGUAGAUAUAUGGAGGAACACCGGUGGCGAAAGCGGCUCUCUGGCCUGUAACUGACACUGAGGCUCGAAAGCGUGGGGAGCAAACAGG